CCUACGGGAGGCAGCAGUAGGGAAUCUUCCACAAUGGGCGAAAGCCUGAUGGAGCAACGCCGCGUGGGUGAAGAAGGUCUUCUGAUCGUAAAACCCUGUUGUUAGAGAAGAAAGUGCGUGAGAGUAACUGUUCACGUUUCGACGGUAUCUAACCAGAAAGCCACGGCUAACUCCGUGACAGCAGCCGCGGUAAUACGUGGGUGGCAAGCGUUAUCCGGAUUUAUUGGGCGUAAAGGGAACGCAGGCGGUCUUUUAAGGCUGAUGUGAAAGCCUUCGGCUUAACCGGAGUAGUGCAUGUGAUACUGGGAGACUUGAGAGCAGAAGAGGAGAGCGGAACGUAAGGUGUAGCGGUGAAAUGCGUAGAUA
Molecule: ribosomal RNA, 366 nt
Filed under: uncultured bacterium
Lineage: Bacteria
Description: partial 16S ribosomal RNA
Rfam family: Bacterial small subunit ribosomal RNA
Source: RNAcentral